This 30-nucleotide non-coding RNA is filed under the name Mus musculus (house mouse). The record is from RNAcentral. Lineage: Eukaryota; Metazoa; Chordata; Mammalia; Rodentia; Muridae.
UAGCAUUUAAAAGCGUGUGCUAUGCAAUAA